UUGAUUAUGACGUACUUGUACUGAUUGAGAUUUUAACACGAAGUGAGUGGCGAACGGGUGAGUAACACGUGGGUAACCUGCCCAGAAGUAGGGGAUAACACCUGGAAACAGAUGCUAAUACCGUAUAACAGAGAAAACCGCAUGGUUUUCUUUUAAAAGAUGGCUCUGCUAUCACUUCUGGAUGGACCCGCGGCGUAUUAGCUAGUUGGUGAGGUAAAGGCUCACCAAGGCAGUGAUACGUAGCCGACCUGAGAGGGUAAUCGGCCACAUUGGGACUGAGACACGGCCCAGACUCCUACGGGAGGCAGCAGUAGGGAAUCUUCCACAAUGGACGCAAGUCUGAUGGAGCAACGCCGCGUGAGUGAAGAAGGGUUUCGGCUCGUAAAGCUCUGUUGUUAAAGAAGAACGUGGGUAAGAGUAACUGUUUACCCAGUGACGGUAUUUAACCAGAAAGCCACGGCUAACUACGUGCCAGCAGCCGCGGUAAUACGUAGGUGGCAAGCGUUAUCCGGAUUUAUUGGGCGUAAAGCGAGCGCAGGCGGUCUUUUAAGUCUAAUGUGAAAGCCUUCGGCUCAACCGAAGAAGUGCAUUGGAAACUGGGAGACUUGAGUGCAGAAGAGGACAGUGGAACUCCAUGUGUAGCGGUGAAAUGCGUAGAUAUAUGGAAGAACACCAGUGGCGAAGGCGGCUGUCUGGUCUGCAACUGACGCUGAGGCUCGAAAGCAUGGGUAGCGAACAGGAUUAGAUACCCUGGUAGUCCAUGCCGUAAACGAUGAUUACUAAGUGUUGGAGGGUUUCCGCCCUUCAGUGCUGCAGCUAACGCAUUAAGUAAUCCGCCUGGGGAGUACGACCGCAAGGUUGAAACUCAAAAGAAUUGACGGGGGCCCGCACAAGCGGUGGAGCAUGUGGUUUAAUUCGAAGCUACGCGAAGAACCUUACCAGGUCUUGACAUCUUCUGACAGUCUAAGAAGAUUAGAGGUUCCCUUCGGGGACAGAAUGA
RNAcentral lists this ribosomal RNA (1000 nucleotides) under Pediococcus pentosaceus. RNAcentral describes it as "bacterial SSU rRNA". It matches the Rfam family "Bacterial small subunit ribosomal RNA", at positions 62 to 1034 of the family's 1533-position model. The record is from RNAcentral. Lineage: Bacteria; Bacillati; Bacillota; Bacilli; Lactobacillales; Lactobacillaceae.